AGCACCUAAGAACAAUAGGAAUGGGAGGCAUUAGGAAAGUUGCAAGCCAAGUCUCCACAAACAUGGAGCUUGCACUUUCCUCCAUGUUCCCAUUCCUACAGCUCUUAGACCCU
RNAcentral lists this microRNA precursor (113 nucleotides) under Oryza sativa (Asian cultivated rice). RNAcentral describes it as "miR5522 stem-loop (osa-MIR5522)". The record is from miRBase by way of RNAcentral. Lineage: Eukaryota; Viridiplantae; Streptophyta; Magnoliopsida; Poales; Poaceae.